This 253-nucleotide ribosomal RNA is filed under the name uncultured bacterium. RNAcentral's name for it is "partial 16S ribosomal RNA". It matches the Rfam family "Bacterial small subunit ribosomal RNA", at positions 524 to 776 of the family's 1533-position model. The record is from RNAcentral.
GACGAACCUUGCUAACGUUAUUCGGAAUCACUGGGCUUAAAGGGUGCGUAGGCUGCGCAGAAAGUUGGGUGUGAAAUCCCUCGGCUUAACCGAGGAACUGCGCCCAAAACUACUGUGCUCGAGGGAGACAGAGGUGAGCGGAACUUAGGGUGGAGCGGUGAAAUGCGUUGAUAUCCUAAGGAACACCCGUGGCGAAAGCGGCUCACUGGGUCUCUUCUGACGCUGAGGCACGAAAGCUAGGGUAGCGAACGGG